AUAAUACAAUAUUAGAUAUAGAUACGCUAUGCACAGCUAAGGAUAUCUAAACUGUAUUAUAAUCCACGUGGUAGAGGCAUAGUUAGGUUCGCUAUGUGUGCAACUCUUAGUAGCAACUAAUCUAAGCAAGUAAAGAGAAUUAAUUGUUGACCCAACAAUAUGUUAUAGGGUACUUGACAGUCUGAUACUAACUGAACAAUAAGUAUCA
Molecule: non-coding RNA, 208 nt
Filed under: unclassified sequences
Description: RAGATH-7 RNA
Rfam family: RAGATH-7 RNA
About the family: RNA motif Associated with Genes Associated with Twister and Hammerhead ribozymes (RAGATH).
Source: Rfam by way of RNAcentral